UACUGUCGUUCCAAUUGAAGUGUUCCUCAAAUAUUGAUUCAAUACAAUACCUCGGGCUGCAUGACCAAUUCAUUUCAUCAAGUUCCUCGAAAUAUUCAUACACUUCCUAGUAUAUUUGUAAACUUCCUGUUGAAUAGUUUGAAUGCACCAAUCACCUUUGUUGUUUGUGCAACUAACCAAUCAUAAAUAGAAAGGAAGUGACCAGAAAUGAUCAAAUUCUUGGAAUUGGCUCUUUCACAGGAAGUGUAUGAAUAUCUCGAGGAACUUGAUGAAAUGAAUUGGUCAGCUUGAGGUAAUGUAUUGAAUCAAUAUUUGAGGAGCACUUCAAUUGGAACGACAG
Molecule: long non-coding RNA, 340 nt
Filed under: Paramuricea clavata
Lineage: Eukaryota; Metazoa; Cnidaria; Anthozoa; Malacalcyonacea; Plexauridae
Source: RNAcentral